This 460-nucleotide ribosomal RNA is filed under the name Weissella confusa. RNAcentral describes it as "bacterial SSU rRNA". It matches the Rfam family "Bacterial small subunit ribosomal RNA", at positions 338 to 795 of the family's 1533-position model. Lineage: Bacteria; Bacillati; Bacillota; Bacilli; Lactobacillales; Lactobacillaceae. The record is from RNAcentral.
CCUACGGGAGGCUGCAGUGAGGAAUAUUGGUCAAUGGGCGCAAGCCUGAACCAGCCAUGCCGCGUGCAGGAUGACGGUCCUAUGGAUUGUAAACUGCUUUUAUACGAGAAGAAACACUCCUUCGUGAAGGAGCUUGACGGUAUCGUAAGAAUAAGGAUCGGCUAACUCCGUGCCAGCAGCCGCGGUAAUACGGAGGAUCCAAGCGUUAUCCGGAAUCAUUGGGUUUAAAGGGUCCGUAGGCGGUUAGAUAAGUCAGUGGUGAAAGCCCAUCGCUCAACGGUGGAACGGCCAUUGAUACUGUUUAACUUGAAUUAUUAGGAAGUAACUAGAAUAUGUAGUGUAGCGGUGAAAUGCUUAGAGAUUACAUGGAAUACCAAUUGCGAAGGCAGGUUACUACUAAUGGAUUGACGCUGAUGGACGAAAGCGUGGGUAGCGAACAGGAUUAGAUACCCCAGUAGUC